AUUGAACGCUGGCGGCAUGCUUUACACAUGCAAGUCGAACGGCAGCACGGGGGCGAACCCUCGGUGGCGAGUGGCGAACGGGUGAGUAACACAUCGGAACGUGUCCAGUUGUGGGGGAUAACCCAUCGAAAGGUGGGCUAAUACCGCAUGAGCUGGCAACAGGAAAGCGGGGACCCGCAAGGCCUUGUGCGAUUGGAGCGGCCGAUGUCCGAUUAGCUAGUUGGUGGGGUAAAGGCCUACCAAGGCUUCGAUCGGUAGCUGGUCUGAGAGGAUGAUCAGCCACACUGGGACUGAGACACGGCCCAGACUCCUACGGGAGGCAGCAGUGGGGAAUUUUGGACAAUGGGGGCAACCCUGAUCCAGCCAUGCCGCGUGAGUGAAGAAGGCCUGGUUGU
RNAcentral lists this ribosomal RNA (395 nucleotides) under uncultured bacterium. RNAcentral's name for it is "bacterial SSU rRNA". It matches the Rfam family "Bacterial small subunit ribosomal RNA", at positions 29 to 426 of the family's 1533-position model. The record is from RNAcentral.